AUGUCAAGUCGAACGAUGAACCACUUCGGUGGGGAUUAGUGGCGAACGGGUGAGUAACACGUGGGCAAUCUGCCCUGCACUCUGGGACAAGCCCUGGAAACGGGGUCUAAUACCGGAUACUGAACCUCGCAGGCAUCUGUGAGGGUCGAAAGCUCCGGCGGUGCAGGAUGAGCCCGCGGCCUAUCAGCUAGUUGGUGAGGUAAUGGCUCACCAAGGCGACGACGGGUAGCCGGCCUGAGAGGGCGACCGGCCACACUGGGACUGAGACACGGCCCAGACUCCUACGGGAGGCAGCAGUGGGGAAUAUUGCACAAUGGGCGAAAGCCUGAUGCAGCGACGCCGCGUGAGGGAUGACGGCCUUCGGGUUGUAAACCUCUUUCAGCAGGGAAGAAGCGAAAGUGACGGUACCUGCAGAAGAAGCGCCGGCUAACUACGUGCCAGCAGCCGCGGUAAUACGUAGGGCGCAAGCGUUGUCCGGAAUUAUUGGGCGUAAAGAGCUCGUAGGCGGCUUGUCACGUCGGUUGUGAAAGCCCGGGGCUUAACCCCGGGUCUGCAGUCGAUACGGGCAGGCUAGAGUUCGGUAGGGGAGAUCGGAAUUCCUGGUGUAGCGGUGAAAUGCGCAGAUAUCAGGAGGAACACCGGUGGCGAAGGCGGAUCUCUGGGCCGAUACUGACGCUGAGGAGCGAAAGCGUGGGGAGCGAACAGGAUUAGAUACCCUGGUAGUCCACGCCGUAAACGGUGGGCACUAGGUGUGGGCAACAUUCC
This 765-nucleotide ribosomal RNA is filed under the name Streptomyces diastaticus subsp. diastaticus. RNAcentral's name for it is "bacterial SSU rRNA". It matches the Rfam family "Bacterial small subunit ribosomal RNA", at positions 55 to 835 of the family's 1533-position model. The record is from RNAcentral. Lineage: Bacteria; Bacillati; Actinomycetota; Actinomycetes; Kitasatosporales; Streptomycetaceae.